This 441-nucleotide ribosomal RNA is filed under the name uncultured bacterium. Its description in RNAcentral is "partial 16S ribosomal RNA". It matches the Rfam family "Bacterial small subunit ribosomal RNA", at positions 338 to 795 of the family's 1533-position model. The record is from RNAcentral.
CCUACGGGUGGCAGCAGUGGGGGAUAUUGCACAAUGGGCGAAACCCUGAUGCAGCGACGCCGCGUGAGUGAAGAAGGAUUUCGGUAUGUAAAGCUCUAUCAGCAGGGAAGAAAACAGACGGUACCUGACUACGAAGCCCCGGCUAACCACGUACCAGCAGCCGCGGUAAUACGUAGGGGGCAAGCGUUUUCCGGAUUUACUGGGGGUAAAGGGAGCGUAGGCGGUAAGACAAGUCGGAAGUGAAAUACCCGGGCUCAACCUGGGAACUGCCUUUGAGACUGUAUGGCUGGAGUGCUGGAGAGGAAAGCGGAAUUCCUAGUGUAGCGGUGAAAUGCGUAGAUAUUAGGAGGAACACCAGUGGCGAAGGCGGCUUACUGGACAAUAACUGACGUUGAGGCUCGAAAGCGUGGGGAGCAAACAGGAUUAGAUACCCGUGUAGUC